UCAUUAAGCGGAGGAAAAGAAAUUAACAAAGAUUACCUUAGUAAUGGCGAAUGAACCGGUAACAGCUCGAAAUUAAAAUCUACUGUUCAAAGAACAGUCGAAUUGUAAUCUGGAUUGCUUAAAUACAUCUGUUUUCUUAAGUCAAUAGAAAGUGACCUCAUAGAGGGUGAUAAGCCCGUAAGGAGAGCAGAUGCUUAAAGUAAUUCUAAAAAGAGUCGGGUAGUUUGGAACUGCUGCCCUAAAGGGAGAUAUGAAUCUUCCAAAGCUAAAUAUGGAUGGGAGACCGAUAGCGCACAAGUACUGUGAAGGAAAGAUGAAAAGGACUUUGAAAAGAGAGUGAAAAGACCUGAAAUCGUUGAGAAGGAAGCGGUAUAAACUGAAGUGCUACAGAGGAAAUACGGAAGCAAUUUCGUAAAUCUUUUUACAGCUGGGUAAAAUGAAGUUUGUCGAGAAAAGAAAGGUGCAAGCCGUUUAAUUCACGAUAAGCUUGAGGGGCUACGGCGAUUUUACCAAAAUGGUUUAUACUGUCCCGUCUUGAAACACGGACCAAGGAGUCUAUCUAAUAUGCGAGUGUGCGAGUGAAAAACUCAUACGCGUAAUGAAAGUAAAAGGUACGAAGAUUCUGCAGUAUCGACCGACCCAGUAAAAAGGGUUUGAGUAAGAGCAUAUUUGAUAGGACCCGAAAGAUGGUGAACUAUGCCUGAAUAGGGUGAAGUCAGGGGAAACCCUGAUGGAGGCUCGUAGCGAUUCUGACGUGCAAAUCGAUCGUCAAAUUUGGGUAUAGGGGCGAAAGACUAAUCGAACCAUCUAGUAGCUGGUUCCCUCCGAAGUUUCUCUCAGGAUAGCAGGAAAAAUUAUGCAGUUUUAUCAGGUAAAGCGAAUGAUUAGAGGUUCCGGGGCGCUUUUAGCCUUGACCUAUUCUCAAACUUUAAAUUGGUAAGAACUCCUUGUUAAUCUUAAUUGAACAUGGAGAUCGAAUGUAUUUUCCUAGUGGGCCGUUUUUGGUAAGCAGAACUGGCGAUGAGGGAUGAACCUAACGUCGAGCUAAGGUGCCUAACUAUACGCUCAUGAGAUACCACAAAAGGUGUUGAUUCAUCUGAACAGCAGGACGGUGGACAUGAAGGUCGUCACCCGCUAAGGAAUGUAUUUAACUCACCUGCCGAAUGAAUUAGCCCUGAAAAUGGAUGGCGCUAAAGCGUAUGACCGAUACUCGACCAUUGAAGCAAAAGUAAGUUUCAAUGUGUAGGAGGGCGUGAAUGUUGUUAGAAGCUUUUGGCGUGAGCCUGAGUGGAACGACAUUUAGUGCAGAUCUUGGUGGUAGUAGCAAAUAGCCAAUUGGAAACGUUGGCGGCCGACGUGGAGAAGGGUUCCCUGUUAACAGCAAUUGAACAGGGGUUACUCGGUCCUAAGUUCCUGGUUAAAACCGUAUAAGGCGCUCUAUAGCGCGGAACGAAAGGGAAUCAGGUUGAUAUUCCUGAAGCAUCAAUAGAUUCGUGGUAACACAAACUAGCUUGAAGACGCCAGUCCGUGCUCCUGGAAGAGUUUUCUUUUCUUCUUAACACAUAAUCAACCUUGAAAUUGGAUUAUCCAGAGAUAAGGCUGUAAGUGUGGCAGAGCAUCCUGCUUUUAUGGGAUGUCAGGUGCGCUCGGAAUGGACCUUGAAAAUUCAAGUCAGAUCAAUCUACUGGUGUCCGUACCCAUAACCGC
RNAcentral lists this ribosomal RNA (1707 nucleotides) under Chaenea sp. 2 FG-2017. Its description in RNAcentral is "LSU rRNA". It matches the Rfam family "Eukaryotic large subunit ribosomal RNA", at positions 43 to 1857 of the family's 3401-position model. Lineage: Eukaryota; Ciliophora; Litostomatea; Haptorida; Trachelophyllidae. The record is from RNAcentral.